CUUGGCGGCCAUAGCGCGGUGGUCCCACCUGAUCCCAUGCCGAACUCAGAAGUGAAACGCCGUAGCGCCGAUGGUAGUGUGGGGUCUCCCC
RNAcentral lists this ribosomal RNA (91 nucleotides) under Proteus mirabilis. Lineage: Bacteria; Pseudomonadati; Pseudomonadota; Gammaproteobacteria; Enterobacterales; Morganellaceae. The record is from RNAcentral.